AGAUCUUUUGAUAGUAUCACUUCUAUCAAUGCAAUGAAAGAACCAUCCCUUCUUCUAAUGAAUCAUAUCCCAUCUGCUAACUAGAACUCAACUCCGAGGGAAGUUAGAGCAAUUGCCUUUUUAUACUAUGCCUUGAGCCUGAAACUCUUCCUUCUAGUCUACCUACGUCAUUCUUUUGAAGUGAAGCAGAAAGCAGAUGGACACAAGUUCACUAAAAUAGCAGUUAGGCCCUUUCGAUAUGCCCCUACUAUAGCACUCGAGGAAGAAGAAGCAGACGAGUACGGUUUAUAUGGUUAUGCCGCAUCUCCAUCUCUAGGAGAAGCAGCUAGAUCGAUUCCUAAACUGCUUCAACCGAUAAGCUUUCCCAGCCUCCAUGCCCAUCAUAUUGUCUGCCAACCACACGAAACAAGAAUAGACGGAUUCCACUUCAACGCCAGGUGUCGCUAAAGACUUUUGCUAAAGACUAAAGACUAAGAGCCUGAUUGAUACAUAACAAGAAUCCCUUCUUGCACCGGGAUCAUCAGCAACGGAUCACGCAGGAGCAGGUUCGGUAUCAGUUAGUAAGAGACAGCUAUUCAACAAACAAUUAUCUGUAAGUGUAGUAAAGGCGCUUUUCUUUUUCCAGUCUUGUGGUUGGCCUUAUGGACCCACGCAACGGUACGAGGCGGAACGGGACGGGGUUCAAAUUCCAUUCAUUAGAGAAAGAAGAAAGGCUUUACCGGUGUGGGCGAGGUCAGUCAGUGAUACCAUAGCUCGGUGUAGUUCAUGAGGGACCACCGGCUCAGCUGCUUGACUGAGCUGCUUGAGAUCAUACCACUAGAUAAGGUCUUUCCAGGUGAAGCUCUUCAAUCAGAGUCACCUCGGAAAUAAAGAUAAUGUAGUGAAGCUCGUUCUGAACUGAAUUACGUUCAAGCGAUUCUGAAUCACUUGAAUGCUAUGCGAAAAAUCUCAUUUAUACAGACCAAUUCUCAGUCCUAGUGGAGACCAUACCAAGCAAAGGAAUUUCGGUAGGAGAAGGAAAAGCUAAAGGUAGGAGAACAAAUUCCAUCAACCUAUGAAACUGUGGAAUACAUCCUCUAGCGAGUGAAGUGAGGUCGGACAACCGCGAAGGGAGAUAUCCGUAGGCGUAUAGGUGUAUCCCAGCUCUAUUGCUUUCAGCUGAAGAUGGAGAGGUUGAUGACUCAGACUUAGGACGUGAAGCUACUACGGGAGAAAUUGGGUUUGGAAGAAAUCCGUUGAUAAAAGGGUGGACUGAAAGUAGAAGAGAGCUUAUGCUCGACUGUAUAAAAUACAGGUUUUCUCUUCCGGNN
Molecule: long non-coding RNA, 1310 nt
Filed under: Elaeis guineensis (African oil palm)
Lineage: Eukaryota; Viridiplantae; Streptophyta; Magnoliopsida; Arecales; Arecaceae
Description: long non-coding RNA (EGUI_LNC079167)
Source: RNAcentral